This is a long non-coding RNA of Drosophila simulans, 6702 nucleotides long. RefSeq lists it as uncharacterized. The record is from RefSeq and is a predicted model, not a curated record. The transcript is spliced from 2 exons. NCBI's taxonomy places the organism in Eukaryota, Metazoa, Arthropoda, Insecta, Diptera, Drosophilidae.
UAGCUCACAAAAUAAAUAAAGGUGCUUGGGUAUCUACAGUCUUGAUGUAUUAAGUUGAGAACCUUUGGAAGACUUGCACUACGAUUCUAACAUGAAGACGCUGGUGUUUCUACUAUUGACACUUUUUUGCCUGAUGGGAAUGGUAGUCUCUGAAAUAAAACCUGAUGCAGCUUGGUUAAAAAAGAAUGAAGAUCUUGUGAAAUGGUGCCAUCUACAACAGGGAUCCUUGUGGGACCGCGAAAAAUGUGUAUAUAAUGGUAUAACAUAAAGGCAUUCGAUAACACUUAUGUUGAAUUUAACUAAUUCCUGAAGAAUUCGAUCAUCAUUUGGUCAAAAGAUCAUUAAACAAAGAUAUAAAUGAUUUUGGUUCUAAUGAUUAAAUAAUUAGAGUGUUCUUUGGAGUGGCAUCUCGAUAUGUAUUUGCAUUCAAUCCCCUUCCAAUCAUAACGGUUCCACGGACUGCAGCCUGCAUCCGAUCCCCUGGAAGUAUCGUGCCUCCAUGCCAUCAUCAUAAUCAUCCUGGUGCGCAGACGCUCUAAUCGCUCAUUAAACGGCCACAAUUUGCCCGGACGGCGUUGCAUUUAAAUUACUUUCCCAUUGACUUGGCCAGGGGAAUUGGCUGAAAUUUGUUUAUGAGGGCCAGCGCAGACCUUUUAACUAAAACUAAAGCUCAUAACUCUGGCCAACCGACAUUCGGCUCUGUCUGCUCCGUUGGACAAUCGAGUCGCGUGAAUUUUAGCAAUCAGGCAAGGCCCGUGGAAGUUCCAAAGUCGCAGCUGAAAACUCUUGAAGCUCCAGCCAAUGUGCACCCCAGAACCCCACUGGUCCCACUUUGUUGUCGUCGCAUUCAUCAAAAAACUCUAAAGUCGUGCAGUUCGGUUUCCAAAUCUAUGCCCCACCCGCAUCCUCCAGUUCUGCAUUUUCCCCUCUCAGCCCGUUCCCUUAUUGCAAUUGGCAUGCCAUGCUUGAGUUUUCCAAGUUUUUCUUUAGAAUUUUCCAUGCUCUUUAUAGGAAGAGAGGGGCAGCCGAGCUGACCGACGUGAUAUUAGAAAUUUAGCUUGCCCCAGCCUACUGCCUCUUCCUUGUCCACCCAUGGGAAACUGCUUUCUGCCAUAUUUUGACUUUCUCUAAUCUCCCAGAAUCACCAGAACCAAAGUUUGAGCUAUUCUUCAGGCUAGAGUUUCCAUGAAUCCUCUUUGUAGCUAUCUUUAUGAUAUAUUUUGGCCAUGUCAACUGCGACGAUUAUGUGAAAACUAUAUUGUUAAUGGACUUGCAGAAUUUAGAAAUUAAAAACAAAAGACAUUUAGAUACCACAAACAGUGAUUUUCAGUCCAAUUGAUUUAUCUUUCUGAUGUUCUGCUUGGUUGCUGAUUCAAAUCGAUUGAAAUAGACAAAAAUAAGUGCACAUCACAACAAUCUUCCAGCUCCAAAUCAUUUGGCAGCUGACUCACUUUCCCACUCCCCUGGCCCAGGCACUUCAAAAGGAAUUUCAAAUAUUUAUUAACGCCCUGCUCGCGAGCUGGCUCAUAACUGUUGUAAAUUACUUGGCCAGGCUGUAAAUAUUAAUAACCAAAGGGUGAAGCGCCGGAAUCACCGAAAUAGAGGGUCGACCGAAUGAGGGGGCGACUAUUUCGAGCAGUGUUGAGGAACCAAUUAAGCGGAUUUCAAGUGCUACGAAAAUAGCGCCGCACAAUCAAAAGGUGACGAAGCGAGCUCGCCGGCAAGGAGGAAAACUCGUGGAAAACCCGGGGAAAACAUCACUCGUCUAUUACAUAAGGCAGAUGCUGAAGAGGGUGAUAGUGCCGGAUAAUGGAGGAGUGGAAUCGGGGGACUGACAUUGAAAUGUUGCGCGUGCAGCAGUGCAAACAAAUUUAAAAAUAAAAUAAGGACAGCCGUGAGGGAAAUGCUGAGGAAAGUUGCGUCUGCAGCAUAAAUUAAACUGCAUUGCAUUGCUGCAUUAAGAGAUCAAACACGAGUGAGGGCGAGGGGGAAAGGCUUUCCCAGCAGGAGGCUGCAUCUGCUCCUCGAGCAUUUAAAAUGCUGUAAAUUUUAAUUAGACGAGAUGCUCGUACUCCGAAUUUGGGGGCGCGCAAGCUGAGAAAUGUGCCAAGGGAUUCCUCUGCUAAAUAUCUGAAUAAAGAUAACGAUAAAUAAUUAGGGUAAAUUUAACAAGGAGGUGAAGAUCUUAACUUGAUUUAAAUCUUAUCAAUUAGAUAGGUUUACGGCGCAUGGAAUAAUGGCAAAAUGGAGGAACAAGUCGAACUCUUCACCCAUAUUAUAAAAUUCAGUUUUAUUAAACUGAAUAAAGGACAGCCCUGUAAUACCAAUCAUUUUAAUUAUUGACUACUAUUAACUUCCUGGUAUCAACUGCCGAAGACCUUAGAGCAGUUUCAAUGCCAAAACUCUUUGGUCUCCAUCUCCGUCGGAGUUGGCCAUAAAUAAUAAUCAUGACAAUAUUUAUCCCCGGGCAAUGUGAACUUUUCGCACAAAGAGCCGAGACUCUGGAGCCGAAAGUUGAGUGCAACUCAGCUCGAUUUGAUGCCAGGCGAUUCAAAAUGAAUCGCGGCUCUCGAGGCCUCCUUUGUUUUUUGUUUGCCGCUUUCAGCAAACUGCAGGCAAUAUUGUUGACAUUGGCUGGAUGUCUGGGAGCCAGUUAUGGCCAAGAUCUAGCUACUCCGUGCUGGUGUAGUAGGUUCCAAACGAAAAAUUGAAAUGGUAAAGUAAACAUGGGAUAUUAAAAUUCCGUUCUUACCGUAAUAAAAGGUUUAUAACGAAGCUUAUAACGCUAUACUUAUUUUUAUUGCUAAUGGGUAACAUUAUCUGCUGUUUCUGUUGUCCUACAAUCAGAGUCUUAUAUUUGGGUAUAGCUUUUUACGAGUUCCCUCCUCAUCACUGGCUCAUCUUGAGGUUCUGGGGGCCCUUCUCCGCUCUUAGCCGGCUUAUCAAAAAUUGCAUGGCAUUGCAGCAGGCUGGGAAUGCUAGGUAAGAACAUUGUUGUUCGACUGCGCCUUGGCGGCAAUAAACGAAACAAAAUGAAACUUACACUUUUCAGUGGGUCCACGGUUUACGGGGGCUGGACCCCCUUCGAAAUGUCGGCAUAGCCACAAUUCCUGACAUUCGUUGGCUGAGAUUAAUGCGCCUUUGGUUGCAGCCGCCAAGUCGGCGAGGGCAGGUCAAGGGCCCGAGGUCUGAGGCGUCUGGCCUAUACUCUAAACAAAUCAGAGUUCAAGGGCUUUGCGGAAGCCACAUGCUAAGUGAUAAAGUUCUUCCUAGAAGACUACUAUUCAAUUAAUUUAUAACAAAGUAAACAAACAAUAUUGAAGUUGAGUUGAUAUAAACGCUCUUAAAUUCCGAAGAAUUUCUUUCUUUUGCGAGACUACAAAGAACUUCAGAAUAUUAUACAAAGAUAGUAAGGUUGUCACACUAAUAAUGAUAUCUGAAAGUCCUUCAAAAACUGUGAGUUUACAAAACCAUAAAUAUUUUGUAGUAUUUCAAGGAAAGGGUAUUCCAAAGUCUUCACUCCCUAGUACAUCUUAGCUUUCUUGCUCUUUUUUUUGGGCCUUUUUGUCGACCUCAGCCGCAGUUUAAGUUCCAGUCUCGGAUUGCGCAAUAAGAGCCCUCAGAGAAGUAAAAAAAAAUAAAUAGAGAGCUGGUAAGGAAGGAGGCAAGAAAGGAGUCACACAGCAAAUUGUUAAAAAUAAUUUAUAUUAAAACGCAGCACAAAAAGACAUUGCAAUGAAAAUUGUGCAAACAAUUCGAGUCCAGAAAAAAAAGCAGGCGCAGAGAUGCCAGGCAGAUCCGGCCAUCCAGAUAAGCGAGGAGGAGCAGCCAGGCCGGGAUGGACUGGAGGGAUCCGGGAGCAAAAGCCGGAGCUGCAAACAAAUGUCCAAAUGAUAUUUUGUCAUAAUAAAUGGCACAACUAUGAUUAUUUAUGACUCGAAAUGCGAUCGUUCCCUCCACCGGCUCGCUCAAUUUAAGUCUCAUAAUCAAAGACGAGACGAGGAGCUCUGGUCAUGAUUUCGAUUUCUUGCCCGGCCAUGUAAUUUAUAGUGCCAAGAGUAUUGAAUACCGCUGGAUUUUCAGAGUUUUUUUCAUUCUGUUUCUGCCCCUUUUUGUGGCAAUCAAACCGAGACUUAGGCCACGAACUGACUGUGAUAAUGCCGUUUUUUCUUCGAUUCCCCGAUGUUGAUUUGCUGACUUUGGCUUUAGCUCUGCGGCUUCGAUUUCCUCUGUUUACGAGUAUUGCUUCCAGCGGCUGGUCGAGGGUAUUUCAGUAUUUCUGUUCUAGGUCUCAAUUGUGGCUGAUUGUUGUGAGGCAUCAUUAGAAGAACGUAAAUCAAAUAGUUUUUCUUCGUUUUAUGACUCCUUCGCUGAGAGUUGAGCCAUUUAUGGCUUGUAAUGGAGGCAACAAAUGUGAGACAGUUUCUGGCAAAGAUUAGGGUCGGAAUGUUGCAGGCCAUUUUGGAGCAGCUUUGUGCGAUGGCACUUCCAAAAGCGAUCAUAUAUAGUAUGUUGGUCUUACCUAUGGAUUUCAACGAUUUUAGCCAACAUUUUGCGAAUAAAUCCUUCCUGGAAAUCGAGGAAACCGUUUUGUUUACAUGCCAUUGCUUGACUUUAAAGGAUUCUUGUGGCCAUUGAUUGGCGUACAUAUUUCGGUAUUUUCGUGGAACUGGCAACUGUCAAUAAGUCCUUACACUGUCGGCACACAUGGCACCCGUUCCCGGUUUCACUGCCAUCACUUAACCUCCACCAUCCAUCCUCUGGCCUCGGCGUUUUCAAAUUAAACUUAAACUUUUUUCAUUUCCAUUCAGCGCACACCACAUAGAAAAACUCCCGACGAGCCCCCUGGUCCCGUAGAUUUCGCUGCGCACAUGCGUUUCAAUUCCGAUUUUUUUCCAUUUUCAUUUUCAUUUUUUCUCGUUGUAUUUCGUAUUUUUUUUAGCUGGUGGGUCUGAUUCCUGGUAUGCCGCGUGCUCAGCGUGUUGUUUGCUUAUUUGAAGUUUCCGCAGGGAGCUGAGUUUUCGGUUCAGUCGGGUUGAGUUGAGUAGAGUUGAGAGCUGAGCUGUGCGGAGGGAGUUCCAGGGGAGUUCCAGGGGGCAUUACGGAAAGUAAGGGGCGGAUAGAGCCAACGAGCGCGCAAUAUUAAAUCGUCUGUAUUGUUUACAAUCAGAAAGCGUUUUAUAGACUUUAUAUAGACGAACGAGUCAACAGAACGAGUCAAACGAGAAGCGGGGAAACAUAUCGAUUCAAGCUCCUAUUCUCCAGAAUUCAAUGGACGCGACCACCAGGGAGUCACAGUUGAGCAAUUUCUGCUUCACCAUUCAGCAGCUUUCGCCUUCGAGUCGGCAAAAGUCACGUUCUAAUCGCCGUACAUACUCGUAUCGCUCCAAUCAUUAAUCAAAAUUAAACAAUAAUUAUUUGCCAAAAAUCAGAGUCAGUGGGGCGCGGGGGUAAAUAUUUCUUCAGGUGUUUCUUUUGCUCAGGUUUUUUGUGGUGGGUGCGUCGAAGGCUACAGAAAUGGUAUUUGAGCGGUUUUAAUUGAGCUUUAAUUAUGCUUAAUUAAGCGUGGAAACACAAACUCUUUUGCCUUCUUUUUUGCAUAUCACAUCGCUUCUUUUUCAGCAGCGUGUGAACACCAUUAACAUGAUGGCCAUUGGAGGCUGGGAGCAAAAUUAAGACGUUUGAGAUGGUAAUUAGUCAGUCUGGAUAGGUUCCAAGAAAAACUUUUUGAUUGAAAAGAAAUGUGAAAAAAAAUCUAUAAAUAUCUUAGCAAAAUUAUUAUAUAUAUUUUCCAUAAGCAUCUAAAUCAUAACAUCUAAAAACCCUAAGUAUUUUUCGAAUUUCUUUUCUGCCGUCCAACUCUUAUACUUAGUUUGAACUGCGUUUAAUGACUGUUUUGAUUACCUACUGCCCAAUACAAUUGGUCUCCCAUCACGAGCUAUUUUUUACUCACAUUUAAAGUUCUGAAACUGCGUUCAGUGUGCCAUAACAGUAAUCCAUAUAGCACAUAUCAACUAUGACGGCCAACAAGAACUCGAUUUUGUUUGAUAAACAGAAAGGGAUUGCCAACACAGACCCCUGGGACGAAAAACCAGAAAGGAGAGUGGAGUGUGGGGCCAACACAAAGUAAUUGAUUGUUUAUGGUCGUACAAUUUAUGUGUGCCACAACAUCGAGGCAGAAGGAGUAGUGGAAAAUAUUGACCAUUUGCUAAACGAUAAUUCAAAAUGUUAAAUCGACAAUUUCAAUUUGAGGCGAGAAGUGUGGGGGCUGCCCCAGAGACUGCUGCACUCGGAAACUUCGCACAUGACUCCCUGGCUGUAAAUAUAAACAUAAACUCUCCACUUAAUAAAGGCGAGUGCCCUGCCACGCCCCCUGCCCCUGUCCCAUGCCCCAUGCCCCAGCAUUAACCCCAUCUGGCCCCGCUGGAAUCAAUCGAACGUGUAAUAAAAUGCAAUUUUUGCAGCGUCGUCUCCAACUCGGCCGAUAAAACUGACUGCCUGAGUUUUUUCCGCCCAAUGCUCCUCUAGCUCCAAACGCAUUUUAUCGACCUCGAGGGGUAAGGGCAUAGCCCUUUGGCACUUUAGGGUUCAAUUGCUGUGUAAAUGCUACUGCUGUUUCUUCGCCAAGCCCCCGACAGCCCCCCUUCACCUUUUUGGCUGGCCUGUAAAAAUUCAAACAGUUACAAGUUUAUCGGCCAGCAG